This is a non-coding RNA of Cricetulus griseus (Chinese hamster), 927 nucleotides long. The record is from RefSeq and is a predicted model, not a curated record. Lineage: Eukaryota; Metazoa; Chordata; Mammalia; Rodentia; Cricetidae.
AGUGUGUGUGUAUGUGUGUGUGUGUGUGUGUGUGUGUGUGUUUGGAUGCCCGUGGACACUAAAGGUCGAUGUUAAGUGUAGUUCUUCAGUAAUGUGGCCACCCUAUUAUUUUGAGACAGGGGAUCUCUUUCACCUGCAGCUGAGAUUCCAUGAAGCUGGCUAUCCAGCAGGGAUCCUACUGUCUCUGCCUCCCCAGCGCUGGAAUUACAGGGCAGAAGGCACCCCCAUUCCCUUCUUGACCACCCUGAGCCAGACUGGGAGAGUGGGACAUGUGGCACUGCUCCAGGUCUGAGCACACAGUCUAUACCAUAGGCCUCUACCUCCUGCCCCAUCCCAGGAGGCAGGAAAUGAAAUUAUGACCUUGUCCAGGCCCUACAGAAAGAGACCCAGAGACCUCCCACAGCUGGUCUUUCCUGAGAGGACAGGCCAGGAGACUAGGUGAGCUCAUCUGUAUCCACUCAAGAUGCUUUCUGUUUCAGAGAGGGUUCAUGGUGACCCAACUGUCCUAACUAAAAGUGGCAGUGGGCUGGUAUAGGCCAGCUUGGAGCCCAACACUGGGCACUGGGUCCUCAUCACCUGGGACCCUACAGAAGGCGGGAGGGGUUUCAGUCACAGACAGUAGUCAAGAUGGUCUGGUCAGUAGUCAGUGUGCUCAUCCCACACAACAGCUGGAAUUGGUCAUAGAAGGACAAUAGGCAGCAGCCUCAGGUCUAAUGCCAGACAGCAGCUGGGCAGGCAGUUGAAGGUUAGGGUGUCCUGCUAGUCUGUGAUGAAGGCUCAACACCUUACUGCCAUCCAGUGAUGCCAGGAAAUUGUCUAACUGUGCUUUACAGUUAUGAGUCCUGGGGUGGGGAUCCUUUUCUCUGUAGGGAAAACAACAAAAACACCCAUUUUAGUAGCAAAUCACACAACUGCCAAGAUGAUUUU